RNAcentral lists this ribosomal RNA (955 nucleotides) under Aspicilia fumosa. Its description in RNAcentral is "partial large subunit ribosomal RNA". It matches the Rfam family "Eukaryotic large subunit ribosomal RNA", at positions 75 to 1068 of the family's 3401-position model. The record is from RNAcentral. Lineage: Eukaryota; Fungi; Ascomycota; Lecanoromycetes; Pertusariales; Megasporaceae.
UUGCCUCAGUAACGGCGAGUGAAGCGGCAACAGCUCAAAUUUGAAAUCCGGCCCCCGGGCCCGAGUUGUAAUUUGUAGAGGGAGUUUCGGAGGCGGCGCCGGCUUAAGUCCCUUGGAACAGGGCGUCACAGAGGGUGAGAAUCCCGUACGUGGCCGGCGAACAAUUCCGGGUGAAACCCCUUCGACGAGUCAAGUUGUUUGGGAAUGCAGCUCAAAAUGGGUGGUAAAUUCCAUCUCAAGCUAAAUACCGGCCAGAGACCGAUAGCGCACAAGUAGAGUGAUCGAAAGAUGAAAAGCACUUUGGAAAGAGAGUUAAAAAGUACGUGAAAUUGUUGAAAGGGAAGCGCUUGCAACCAGACUUGCUCGCGGGUGAUCAGCCUCCCUUCGGGGGGGUGCACUCGCCCGCGAUCAGGCCAGCAUCGGUUUCGGCGGGCGGAUAAAGUCCCCAGGAACGUAGCUCCCUUCGGGGAGUGUUAUAGCCUGGGGUGCAAUGCGCCCAGCCGGGACCGAGGACCGCGCUUCGGCUAGGAUGCUGGCGUAAUGGUUGCAAGCGACCCGUCUUGAAACACGGACCAAGGAGUCUAACAUCUGUGCGAGUGUGUGGGCGUUAAACCCAUGCGCAGAAUGAAAGUGAACGGAGGUGGGAGCCCUUUCGGGGGCGCACCAUCGACCGAUCCUGAUGUCUUCGGAUGGAUUUGAGUAGGAGCACAGCUGUUGGGACCCGAAGAUGGUGAACUAUGCGUGAAUAGGGUGAAGCCAGAGGAACUCUGGUGGAGGCUCGCAGCGGUUCUGACGUGCAAAUCGAUCGUCAAAUUUGCGUAUAGGGGCGAGACUAAUCGAACCAUCUAGUAGCUGGUUCAGCCAAGUUUCCUCAGAUAGCAGUAACGUUUNAGUUUUAUGAGGUAAGCGAUGAUAGAGGCUUGGGGUGAACACCNUUAANCUAUCUCAACNUUAA